RNAcentral lists this long non-coding RNA (202 nucleotides) under Capra hircus (goat). RNAcentral describes it as "lncRNA (ENSCHIG00000001818.1)". The record is from RNAcentral. Lineage: Eukaryota; Metazoa; Chordata; Mammalia; Artiodactyla; Bovidae.
GUUUAUGUUACAUAAGCAGCUGAAUACGGAUCAGUGCUUAUUCAGUCAAUUGCUACUCAUUUCAUGUUUAGCUUACCUUGAAAAUAGGGAUAUACUUAGAGACCUAUAUCAUUUUGGAAAGAAAAUGACCAAUACAAAGACUUCUAUUGGUAUAAUAAAUUAUAUUGAUGGACAUUUAACCUUGUAUCAUGCACGGAGAUAA